AUUGAACGCUGGCGGCAUGCCUUACACAUGCAAGUCGAACGGCAGCACGGGAGCAAUCCUGGUGGCGAGUGGCGAACGGGUGAGUAAUAUAUCGGAACGUGCCCAGUCGUGGGGAUAACGUAGCGAAAGCUACGCUAAUGCCGCAUACGAUCUAUGGAUGAAAGCGGGGGAUCGCAAGACCUCGCGCGAUUGGAGCGGCCGAUAUCAGAUUAGGUAGUUGGUGAGGUAAAGGCUCACCAAGCCGACGAUCUGUAGCUGGUCUGAGAGGACGACCAGCCACACUGGG
This 286-nucleotide ribosomal RNA is filed under the name uncultured bacterium. RNAcentral's name for it is "partial 16S ribosomal RNA". It matches the Rfam family "Bacterial small subunit ribosomal RNA", at positions 30 to 317 of the family's 1533-position model. The record is from RNAcentral.